Molecule: long non-coding RNA, 840 nt
Organism: Apis dorsata (giant honeybee)
Lineage: Eukaryota; Metazoa; Arthropoda; Insecta; Hymenoptera; Apidae
Exons: 3
Source: RefSeq, a predicted model, not a curated record
UUUUCACCAGAGCAAGAAAAAUGGAAACGCUGGUUGGAAUUGACAGAGGGAGGGUGAAAAAGGAGGGUUCGGUUCGAGGGGCGGAAUCAUUGUUAUGGAAAAUGGACGGAGAUGGAAUCUUUUCUGAAAGCAAUUUGAUUUUUCCUACAGCGUUUCGCUAUAAGGGUGAAGGAAGUGAAGUGACGUAUAGCGAAAGGAAGGGUUCGAAGCUCUGUUUCGAUCGCAGCGCCAUCGUACGAACCACGCGAAAGGUCAUUAGCCAGUAAUCGAUAAGGUAGAGAGGGGUGGGUCGAUAAUGUCGGCUCUGGAAGAAAACAACCCCAUUUCAUUGCCCAUCAUUGGAACACCGAGGAAAUUUCAAAGGUUUUAGGAACGUUGGUCUUAAAACUAUGAAGGAGUUCAAGAUUAUUACACAGACAUGCCACUCUCUAUGCAGACUUCAAUAGAACGUCAACAUUAAUCAAGCUAAUGCCAGGCGUCUCGAAUCCUUACGAUCAUUAAACGCCGCCAUUCCUCCCGUCAAUUGACCCCAUAACUAAUAGUUCAAUCACAACACACCAGUGUCUUUCACUCGAUCAUAGAGCCGCCUGUCCAAAUAGACGACUUCGAAUAUUUCUAAUCUCCAUCCAACGCGGCAAUGAAGUAUAUGUAAAUAUAUGAGCAACAGUCUGUCUCAUACUCUGUCCAGUGUAAAUCAACCUUAAGCACACUUCAUGAACAUAAAUCCCGCAUAUAUUUAUUACGAGAACACUAAAUGCUUUCUAUUUAAUCGUUAUCUUAAUUCCAAACAGAUGUCAUUUUACAACCUAACCCAACUUUUUUUUUUCUUGCUUAAACUCG